Molecule: ribosomal RNA, 474 nt
Filed under: uncultured bacterium
Lineage: Bacteria
Description: SSU rRNA
Rfam family: Bacterial small subunit ribosomal RNA
Source: RNAcentral
AGGACGAACGCUGGCGGCGUGCUUAACACAUGCAAGUCGAACGAGGCCCUACCUUCGGGUAGGUGACCUAGUGGCGAACGGGUGAGUAACACGUGGGCAACCUACCCUCAGCUCUGGGAUAACCCCGGGAAACCGGAGCUAAUACCGGAUAUGACCUUGAACGACAUCGUUCUUGGUGGAAAGUUUUUCGGCUGAGGAUGGGCCCGCGGCCUAUCAGCUUGUUGGCGGGGUAAUGGCCCACCAAGGCGACGACGGGUAGCCGGCCUGAGAGGGCGAUCGGCCACACUGGGACUGAGACACGGCCCAGACUCCUACGGGAGGCAGCAGUGGGGAAUAUUGCGCAAUGGGCGAAAGCCUGACGCAGCGACGCCGCGUGAGGGAUGAAGGCCUUCGGGUUGUAAACCUCUUUCAGCAGGACGAAGCGAAGUGACGGUACUGCAGAAGAAGCACCGGCAACUACGUGCCAGCAGCCGC